This 460-nucleotide ribosomal RNA is filed under the name uncultured bacterium. RNAcentral's name for it is "partial 16S ribosomal RNA". It matches the Rfam family "Bacterial small subunit ribosomal RNA", at positions 338 to 795 of the family's 1533-position model. The record is from RNAcentral.
CCUACGGGAGACAGCAGUGAGGAAUAUUGGUCAAUGGACGAGAGUCUGAACCAGCCAAGUAGCGUGAAGGAUGACUGCCCUAUGGGUUGUAAACUUCUUUUAUAUGGGAAUAAAAUGUUCCACGUGUGGGAUUUUGUAUGUACCAUAUGAAUAAGGAUCGGCUAACUCCGUGCCAGCAGCCGCGGUAAUACGGAGGAUCCGAGCGUUAUCCGGAUUUAUUGGGUUUAAAGGGAGCGUAGGUGGAUUGUUAAGUCAGUUGUGAAAGUUUGCGGCUCAACCGUAAAAUUGCAGUUGAAACUGGCAGUCUUGAGUACAGUAGAGGUGAGCGGAAUUCGUGGUGUAGCGGUGAAAUGCUUAGAUAUCACGAAGAACUCCGAUUGCGAAGGCAGUUCACUGGACUGCAACUGACACUGAGGCUCGAAAGUGUGGGUAUCAAACAGGAUUAGAUACCCUUGUAGUC